UGGGUUUUCCAUGGAACCAUGACCUCUGCUUUUAUGGAUUCCCCUGCAGGUCAGCCUGCCCCUAUAAGUAGUGGACAUAAUCAAGCAGAGAUCAUAAUCUUCAGAAGCACGUCCUGAAAAGAAGCCAAAUCUGAUUUUAACAGUUUAGCUCCAACUCUGAAGAGAAGAUGAAAUUCACACACCUGGUCAUGGCAGCUCUUCUUAUCGCAGCCCUGUGCUCACAGACUCUUGGCAGGAAUGCCCACACACCGGAUGCUUGCUGUUUCAGUUAUCAGGAAGAAAAACUUACAAGAAGAAUGUUAGCACGUUAUGAGUUCACCAGAACAGACUGUAGCAGGCCUGGUGUUAUAUUAGUCCUCAGAAGUGGAAAACAAGUCUGUGCCAAUCCUGCAGAUCGUUGGGUUAAGGACAGAAUUCAAUACCUGAAUAACAUUUUUUCAAAGCAUCCUGCUGGCAUCCCGGUCCAAGCUGUCAAUCUUGAUUUAGAGGGAUCUUCCUGAAUAACUGAGACAUCACACAUUGUGCAAAAACUUAGUUUCAGAGUGGCAACUUUGAUACAAGCAAUCUAUAAUUAUUUUCGUUGUACUUCAUUCCAAUAAUUUCCCCCUAAAUGUAAACGUAUACCACAGAUAAACUGCACAUGUUCAGUGAACUCUCAGUCAUUACGUGCUCUUUUUUCUGAUCCUAUCCAACUGACUCGGAAAGGGGAAAGCAAUAUGUUAUAUAUUAGUUCUGUACCUAAAUAAUCAAUACACUGUUGCAUCAAGACAUUCAUUAUUUUUCUUAGUGUGAAUGAAACUGUUAGGUUAAAUCUGAGAUAUCUUUUUUAUAUAUUUUAGACACCUUUAAUGAAUAUCAUUGUCUUUGUAUUGUUUAUUUUUCCUGUGCUUAGCAAGCACAUCAGUAAUACUUGAUUGUACUCUGAAAAAAACAUUAUGAAUGAA
Long non-coding RNA from Acipenser ruthenus (sterlet), 944 nucleotides. RefSeq lists it as uncharacterized. The transcript has 3 exons. NCBI's taxonomy places the organism in Eukaryota, Metazoa, Chordata, Actinopteri, Acipenseriformes, Acipenseridae. The record is from RefSeq and is a predicted model, not a curated record.